GGCGGCUGGAAAGGGCCGGUCUCUUCUCAGGUUGGGAUUUCUUUUCCAUUUUUACAGACCUCCAAGGUGGGAGGUGUCAGGCACUUCGACAGAGUCCUAUCUUUAGCCCCAGUCUGGGAGUGGGAAUGAGGGCGACGGCCCGCUCCUUCAGUUACACUUGUGGAGGGUCGAAUGGAGACAGGAGGGAACGUCAUCCUCCACCUCUGUCGCCCGCUUGUGCCCGAGUCGGGUGGGGUGGGAGGAGAAAUCAGGUCCAUGUUGGAAUCCCUCCCUCCUGCAGUUUCUGGCCGGGUAACCAGAAAAACGGAGCUACUAAUACCCCCGUUGCAAGGUCAAUGGGAGGAUUAAAUGUCAGAAUAUAAACCCUCAGUGUAGGAGAAUUUCUCCUCCAACCCCACUCAUCCAAACCUUUCCUGUUCUUCCAGUGGCUGUCCAGAUGAGUUUCCCAACUCCCCUGGAAAGAGGACCCUCACCUGCAGAACCUCUCCCCAGGACUAGAGGGUCUUUGUGGAAUCCCCAGCCGCCACCUCCCCGAGUCAGCUUUUCUGAAAGCAGUUCUCUCACCGGAUUCGCAGCAGAAUUACCAGGUGGAACACAGGGAUUCCAGUGCACCCAGCCCUGCUGAAUCAGAACGUCUGGGGGUGAGGCCCAGCUUCCUCGCCUGAACAAGCCUGGCGCUGGGGAACCACUGUCCCAGAUUACAGGGUACUUGCCCGGCUCAUCCCCUCCCCUGCUGGCCUGGGACGGUCAGGGGCAGUGGGAGGCAAGUCCCAUCAGCACUUUUAACUGGGGCUGCCUUUUCGUGACUCACCUCCCAGACUUCCCGCAGCAGACAUCUCUAAAUAGC
RNAcentral lists this long non-coding RNA (847 nucleotides) under Lynx pardinus (Iberian lynx). Lineage: Eukaryota; Metazoa; Chordata; Mammalia; Carnivora; Felidae. The record is from RNAcentral.